RNAcentral lists this ribosomal RNA (497 nucleotides) under uncultured bacterium. RNAcentral describes it as "partial 16S ribosomal RNA". It matches the Rfam family "Bacterial small subunit ribosomal RNA", at positions 28 to 507 of the family's 1533-position model. The record is from RNAcentral.
GAUGAACGCUGGCGGCGUGCCUAAUACAUGCAAGUCGAGCGAACAGACGAGGAGCUUGCUCCUCUGACGUUAGCGGCGGACGGGUGAGUAACACGUGGAUAACCUACCUAUAAGACUGGGAUAACUUCGGGAAACCGGAGCUAAUACCGGAUAAUAUAUUGAACCGCAUGGUUCAAUAGUGAAAGACGGUUUUGCUGUCACUUAUAGAUGGAUCCGCGCCGCAUUAGCUAGUUGGUAAGGUAACGGCUUACCAAGGCAACGAUGCGUAGCCGACCUGAGAGGGUGAUCGGCCACACUGGAACUGAGACACGGUCCAGACUCCUACGGGAGGCAGCAGUAGGGAAUCUUCCGCAAUGGGCGAAAGCCUGACGGAGCAACGCCGCGUGAGUGAUGAAGGUCUUCGGAUCGUAAAACUCUGUUAUUAGGGAAGAACAAAUGUGUAAGUAACUAUGCACGUCUUGACGGUACCUAAUCAGAAAGCCACCGCUAACUACGUG